GGGGUUGGGAGAAUCCAAGUGUCCGUGUAGACAUUCGUAGAUUUGCCAUUUCCUAUGAAUAUAUGUCUUUCAAGCCAUGGGAAGGAGGAGGUUAUGGAGAUGUUAAGAAAAGAGGUACCGUGGCAAUAUUUCCCUAACAAGACGCAUGAAAAGUAAAGGACCCUAGGAACGGAUUACUCUAGUGGUUUUGUUUGGAUAUGAACUCCGGAUGGAGAACUGAAUGGGUUGAAGGGUCACAUGAAGGUUGCGGAAGGCCUCCGAUAUUCCCGACUCCAAAUGGUGCUUGAUAUGACUCACAAGACCACCAAGUGAAGGAUCUCUCGUCGUUCCUUGAUAUGACUCACAAGUCCAACGAUUUGAGGAAGUGUUUACUUGGAUAUGACUCACCAAGAAACAAGACAAGUUCUUACAAAGAACAAAGAGUUUUAACUCAGAAAUUUCACACAAAAAUCGAUUGCUUUAUUCCUUAGAAGAGAUUACAUACUUAUAGAGUUUUGUAGUCAAACACAAUAAAUAGAUUUGUAGGAAAACAAGACAUAGAAAAGAUAAAUUUGACUAGAUCUGGUCAAGGCACGGAAAAUGGAGAAGACUAGUCAAGAUGACCGUUCGGCUCCUGUCCAGAUUCAUCCGAACUGGCUGUGUCCAAGGCGGAAAGGAUCAGUACAUGCGCGGGACGAUCAGCAAGGGCCGCGGGACGUUCUGCAAGGCCGCGGGAC
RNAcentral lists this long non-coding RNA (716 nucleotides) under Brassica napus (rape). Its description in RNAcentral is "long non-coding RNA (BNAP_LNC013756)". Lineage: Eukaryota; Viridiplantae; Streptophyta; Magnoliopsida; Brassicales; Brassicaceae. The record is from RNAcentral.